RNAcentral lists this ribosomal RNA (695 nucleotides) under uncultured soil bacterium. RNAcentral's name for it is "bacterial SSU rRNA". It matches the Rfam family "Bacterial small subunit ribosomal RNA", at positions 30 to 769 of the family's 1533-position model. The record is from RNAcentral.
CGAACGCUGGCGGCAGGCUUAACACAUGCAAGUCGAGCGGGCGUAGCAAUACGUCAGCGGCAGACGGGUGAGUAACGCGUGGGAACAUACCUUUUGGUUCGGAACAACACAGGGAAACUUGUGCUAAUACCGGAUAAGCCCUUACGGGGAAAGAUUUAUCGCCGAAAGAUUGGCCCGCGUCUGAUUAGCUAGUUGGUGAGGUAACGGCUCACCAAGGCGACGAUCAGUAGCUGGUCUGAGAGGAUGAUCAGCCACAUUGGGACUGAGACACGGCCCAAACUCCUACGGGAGGCAGCAGUGGGGAAUAUUGGACAAUGGGCGCAAGCCUGAUCCAGCCAUGCCGCGUGAGUGAUGAAGGCCCUAGGGUUGUAAAGCUCUUUUGUGCGGGAAGAUAAUGACGGUACCGCAAGAAUAAGCCCCGGCUAACUUCGUGCCAGCAGCCGCGGUAAUACGAAGGGGGCUAGCGUUGCUCGGAAUCACUGGGCGUAAAGGGUGCGUAGGCGGGUCUUUAAGUCAGGGGUGAAAUCCUGGAGCUCAACUCCAGAACUGCCUUUGAUACUGAGGAUCUUGAGUUCGGGAGAGGUGAGUGGAACUGCGAGUGUAGAGGUGAAAUUCGUAGAUAUUCGCAAGAACACCAGUGGCGAAGGCGGCUCACUGGCCCGAUACUGACGCUGAGGCACGAAAGCGUGGGGAGC